AUACUUACCUGGCAGGGGAGACACCAUGAUCAAGAUGGUGGUUCACCCAGGGUGAGGCUUGACCAUUGCACUCCGAUUUGUGCUGACCUCUGCGAAUUCCCCAAAUGUGGGACUCUCGAGGGGAAGUUGUGGCCUAAUGAUUAGAGAGUCGGACUCGUA
RNAcentral lists this small nuclear RNA (159 nucleotides) under Sinocyclocheilus grahami. RNAcentral's name for it is "U1 spliceosomal RNA (ENSSGRG00000001283.1)". It matches the Rfam family "U1 spliceosomal RNA". From Rfam's summary of the family: U1 is a small nuclear RNA (snRNA) component of the spliceosome (involved in pre-mRNA splicing). Lineage: Eukaryota; Metazoa; Chordata; Actinopteri; Cypriniformes; Cyprinidae. The record is from Rfam by way of RNAcentral.